CUUAAAACAACCCAAUGCGUUGGAGAGCUCUAAGCAAGAGCAGCAAAGAGACGAACUAGACAGACAGUUCAAGUCCAGCGCAAGGGCAAGCAAGAAUGAAAUCCUUUGAACCAAACAGAGAUGAUGGAUUUUACGAGAUUUUAAACAGCGAAGGGGGAUAAAAUAGCACCAGAAUGGAAAGCUAACAUCUGAAAGUCAUUUUCCAGAACUUCAUUCAGCACCAGAACAAUGCGGCAUUCAGGCAUAAUGAGCUGAAAAGAUCUAAUUCAAGUGGUUAUUAUGCCCAUGAAACACCACCACCGCUGAAUUUAUUUUUAUUUUGCCUGCUCAAUGGCAAUGUAAAGCGAAUUUGAGAGCACAUCACCUUCAGGGAAAAGACUGCAGCAUAUUACUCACCACCUCCCUCCUCCCUUCUGCGUGAAAAGGUUAAUUUGAAUAAGACUGCUGCUUCCCCAAAUAGAACAGUCACCAGCGCACAGAGGCCGGCCAAUGGGAGCGUUAUUCAAUGAUGUCAUGCCUAUACCUGAUCCUUAUUAUUUGCUGAGUCGUGACAAUGUGCUCCUUGCGUCUCACAUUUUAUUGGUCAAGAACCCUG
Molecule: long non-coding RNA, 595 nt
Organism: Sorex araneus (European shrew)
Lineage: Eukaryota; Metazoa; Chordata; Mammalia; Eulipotyphla; Soricidae
Exons: 3
Source: RefSeq, a predicted model, not a curated record